UACGUAGGGGGCGAGCGUUAAUCGGAAUUACUGGGCGUAAAGCGUGCGUAGGCGGCUGUGCAAGACAGGUGUGAAAUCCCAGGGCUUAACCUGGGAACUGCAUUUGUGACUGCAAAGCUAGAGUACAGCAGAGGUGGAUGGAAUUCCGCGUGUAGCAGUGAAAUGCGUAGAUAUGCGGAGGAACACCAAUGGCGAAGGCA
RNAcentral lists this ribosomal RNA (200 nucleotides) under uncultured bacterium. RNAcentral describes it as "partial 16S ribosomal RNA". It matches the Rfam family "Bacterial small subunit ribosomal RNA", at positions 524 to 723 of the family's 1533-position model. The record is from RNAcentral.